This 482-nucleotide ribosomal RNA is filed under the name uncultured bacterium. Its description in RNAcentral is "bacterial SSU rRNA". It matches the Rfam family "Bacterial small subunit ribosomal RNA", at positions 30 to 507 of the family's 1533-position model. The record is from RNAcentral.
AUUGAACGCUGGCGGCAUGCCUUACACAUGCAAGUCGAACGGCAGCACGGGGCAACCUGGUGGCGAGUGGCGAACGGGUGAGUAAUGCAUCGGAACGUGCCAUUGAGUGGGGGAUAACGUAGCGAAAGUUGCGCUAAUACCGCAUAUUCUGUGAGCAGGAAAGCAGGGGACCGCAAGGCCUUGCGCUCUUUGAGCGGCCGAUGUCAGAUUAGCUAGUUGGUGAGGUAACGGCUUACCAAGGCGACGAUCUGUAGCGGGUCUGAGAGGAUGAUCCGCCACACUGGAACUGAGACACGGUCCAGACUCCUACGGGAGGCAGCAGUGGGGAAUUUUGGACAGUGGGCGCAAGCCUGAUCCAGCCAUGCCGCGUGAGUGAAGAGGGCCUUCGGGUUGUAAAGCUCUUUCGGCCGGGAAGAAAUCGCAUGGGUUAAUACCCUGUGUGGAUGACGGUACCGGAAUAAGAAGCACCGGCUAACUACGUG